CUUAAUUCCAUGCCAGGUCGAAACGCGUUGGCCCAAUUGAUUGAUGGUGCUUGCACCUGAUUGAUUUUGGUCGCCAACGAGUGGCGGACGGGUGAGUAACACGUAGGUAACCUGCCCAGAAGCGGGGGACAACAUUUGGAAACAGAUGCUAAUACCGCAUAACAGCGUUGUUCGCAUGAACAACGCUUAAAAGAUGGCUUCUCGCUAUCACUUCUGGAUGGACCUGCGGUGCAUUAGCUUGUUGGUGGGGUAACGGCCUACCAAGGCGAUGAUGCAUAGCCGAGUUGAGAGACUGAUCGGCCACAAUGGGACUGAGACACGGCCCAUACUCCUACGGGAGGCAGCAGUAGGGAAUCUUCCACAAUGGGCGCAAGCCUGAUGGAGCAACACCGCGUGAGUGAAGAAGGGUUUCGGCUCGUAAAGCUCUGUUGUUAAAGAAGAACACGUAUGAGAGUAACUGUUCAUACGUUGACGGUAUUUAACCAGAAAGUCACGGCUAACUACGUGCCAGCAGCCGCGGUAAUACGUAGGUGGCAAGCGUUAUCCGGAUUUAUUGGGCGUAAAGAGAGUGCAGGCGGUUUUCUAAGUCUGAUGUGAAAGCCUUCGGCUUAACCGGAGAAGUGCAUCGGAAACUGGAUAACUUGAGUGCAGAAGAGGGUAGUGGAACUCCAUGUGUAGCGGUGGAAUGCGUAGAUAUAUGGAAGAACACCAGUGGCGAAGGCGGCUACCUGGUCUGCAACUGACGCUGAGACUCGAAAGCAUGGGUAGCGAACAGGAUUAGAUACCCUGGUAGUCCAUGCCGUAAACGAUGAGUGCUAGGUGUUGGAGGGUUUCCGCCCUUCAGUGCCGGAGCUAACGCAUUAAGCACUCCGCCUGGGGAGUACGACCGCAAGGUUGAAACUCAAAGGAAUUGACGGGGGCCCGCACAAGCGGUGGAGCAUGUGGUUUAAUUCGAAGCUACGCGAAGAACCUUACCAGGUCUUGACAUCUUGCGCCAACCCUAGAGAUAGGGCGUUUCCUUCGGGAACGCAAUGACAGGUGGUGCAUGGUCGUCGUCAGCUCGUGUCGUGAGAUGUUGGGUUAAGUCCCGCAACGAGCGCAACCCUUGUUACUAGUUGCCAGCAUUAAGUUGGGCACUCUAGUGAGACUGCCGGUGACAAACCGGAGGAAGGUGGGGACGACGUCAGAUCAUCAUGCCCCUUAUGACCUGGGCUACACACGUGCUACAAUGGACGGUACAACGAGUCGCGAACUCGCGAGGGCAAGCAAAUCUCUUAAAACCGUUCUCAGUUCGGACUGCAGGCUGCAACUCGCCUGCACGAAGUCGGAAUCGCUAGUAAUCGCGGAUCAGCAUGCCGCGGUGAAUACGUUCCCGGGCCUUGUACACACCGCCCGUCACACCAUGAGAGUUUGUAACACCCAAAGUCGGUGGGGUAACCUUUUAGGAGCCAGCCGCAUAAGGGACCAAG
This 1469-nucleotide ribosomal RNA is filed under the name Limosilactobacillus fermentum. RNAcentral describes it as "bacterial SSU rRNA". It matches the Rfam family "Bacterial small subunit ribosomal RNA". Lineage: Bacteria; Bacillati; Bacillota; Bacilli; Lactobacillales; Lactobacillaceae. The record is from RNAcentral.